AAUCAGAACUCAGAAACAGCUCUGAAACAGCAAUGUUAAUUCAUUAUAGCUUCAUGUUCAUACAGAUAAGCUGGGCCUGCGCGAAACCCAUUUAAACAUUGGUGGAAGAAAAUCUGACUACGAUGCUUUGGUUCUUAGAAGAAUCAACCAAUGCAGCCAUUGCAAGAGCAAAGCAGAGCAAUGCUAUUUUCGUUGUGUAUAUUACAGGUACUAAUGACGAAGACACAAGUCGAAUGGAUGAAACAUGGGAAGAUGGAGAGGUUCAACAGAUCUGCAAUGAGGCAGGUAUAGUUGCCAUCAGGCUUAAUGCAUCCAGUACUGAAUGCAAUCAAUUCAGCAGACUUUAUCCUGUUGUUUGUGUUCCAUCAGUAGCAUUCAUUGAUGGUGGAAAUGGGGUCUACCUAGAGGCAAUUGCAGGUGCUGUAUCCCCACACGAACUAAGAGAGAAGAUUAAAGAUGUGAUUGUGAAAAAGAAUAGGGCCAACCAAGCCUCAGUUGUAGCAACAACAACAGAAGCAAUGUAUUCGCAACCGUCAACUUCGCAAGCAGCUGCAGAUCCGUUAAUGACUGCAGCUCCCCAGGCAAGUGCAUCUCCUGGAAGUGCAACUUCCCAGGCAAGUGCAGCUCCAAAAAUCACUCCAGACCAACCUGACAAAGUUCAAGCAUCAUCUUUUGCAUCUGCAAUAGUUAAUACAAGUAAUGAAACCCAAGAGGAGAGGUCACAGAGACAUCGGCAGAAGAUGGUUGCGUUGCGAGAGAAGAUGGAUAAGGAAAGGAAGAAAAAGGAUAGUUCCAAUUCCAACCAAGCCUCAGCUGUAGAGAUGGAUACUCAAACAUCAACUCUGCAAGUCGCAAAUCCGUAUUCGGUUGCAUCUGUCCAGAUUAACUGCAAGAAAGAAAUAGAAAGAAGGGAAGUUGGAAAAGCAAUCCAAGAACAGAUGAAGACGAACCAGGAGAGGGAAACCAGAGCCACUGUGGAACACAUGAAGGAAGAUCAGCAGUGGAGGGAAUUGGUCCGGCAACAGCUGGAGUGGGAUAAGCUAGAGAAGAAAGCGAGGUUUGAGGCUGAGAAGAGAGAGAGGGAUCAGAAACGGAAAAGCAGGAAUAUCCAGAAACAAGAACAACUAGAUGAAGAAGAAUUAGAAAGAAAGAGAAGACGAAUGGAGAGUGCUAGAAUACAGUUCCGUCUGCCAGAUGGUUCAACUUUUAAGAAUGAAUUCAAGGCAACAGCAAAAAUGUCAGAAGUACAUGAGUUUAUUAGACAGAAAAUUAUGUCUCAUGACUUAAGAAGUUCAUUUAUGAUGUCAACAACAUUUCCUAGGAGAAACUACGAUUCUGAUGACAUGGACCGUACCCUCACAGAGCUCAAUUUGGUUCCCAGUCCUUGCAUUAUUGUCCUUCCAAGAAAUAAUAGGUCCAAUUCCAACCAAACCUCAGCAGUAGCAACAACAAAAGCAAUGGAUGCUCAAACAUCAACCCUGCAAGCAGCCACGGAUUCGCUCUUUAAUACAAGUGAUGAGACCAUAGAGAAGAAGGCAUAUAGAUGGCAGAAGAUGGUUGCAUUUCAAGAGUUGGGAGAAGAAAAUGAGGAGCAUCUGUAGAAGUUAAUACAAGUAAUGAGACCAUAGAGGAGGGGGCAUUGCAAGAGAACAAAGAAAAGAAAAAGGAGGAGGGGUCCACUGCUGUUACCCAAUCAGAUAGUCCAGUCCUGAUGCUCCUGUCGCCUUUCCUUGCCCUCUGG
This 1741-nucleotide unclassified non-coding RNA is filed under the name Anneissia japonica. RNAcentral's name for it is "uBX domain-containing protein 4-like, transcript variant X2". The record is from RNAcentral. Lineage: Eukaryota; Metazoa; Echinodermata; Crinoidea; Comatulida; Comatulidae.